AGCGUUGCUUCGGGGUGUGGAAGCAAAGAUUCCGCAUUCUCAAUGAAACGUUGUGAGGAUUCCUCCACGUGAUCAAGAUCACGAUUAUUGCUGGUGCAGUUUUGCACAAUUUAACAAUACUAAUAAUAAUUAAUGAGUCUAUUUUAAAUCAAGAUCCUACAGGCAUUGAAAAUCAAUUAACAAAUCCAACUGUCCCUAAUAAUGUAGAAGAAUAAGAAGAUGAAUGCGAAAAACAAGGGAAAACAUCAACACAGCCAUAUUGAAACUUAUUUUUAUAAUUAAAUAAAUAUUUUCAUAUAUUUGUAAA
This is a long non-coding RNA of Colias croceus (clouded yellow), 307 nucleotides long. RefSeq lists it as uncharacterized. The record is from RefSeq and is a predicted model, not a curated record. NCBI's taxonomy places the organism in Eukaryota, Metazoa, Arthropoda, Insecta, Lepidoptera, Pieridae. The transcript has 2 exons.